Molecule: non-coding RNA, 562 nt
Organism: Ictidomys tridecemlineatus (thirteen-lined ground squirrel)
Lineage: Eukaryota; Metazoa; Chordata; Mammalia; Rodentia; Sciuridae
Source: RefSeq, a predicted model, not a curated record
UCCUGCAGAUAUUUGUAGAGAUCCUUCUUUGUGCCAGGAACAGAACUAGGCACUAGGAUGAUUUUUGUUCAUAAAAAGCAAGAAAAACCACCAGAUCCGAUGAACAUCAAGAUUCCUUGCAGAUGGAACAUCCUGGAAUCUUCCAAGCUGGAUAUGAGAGAGGUGGAGGGAAGAGUGAGUUGGAAAGUGAAGAUGAGGAGACUGAAACCUGAGGAUCAAAUAGAACUAUUGGGUAUUUUCUGGAGGUCAACGAUACGCACCGCAGGUGUGUGCUGUGCCUGGACAGGCAAAAGCAUUUGCUCAGUUGUGUUGUUGGCAUUACUACAUCAUGGGGAAGAAUCACAACUCAGAGAUCACACACACAGGGCUCUGUUAGGAAUCCCUCAGCAUAAGACUUGACUUUUCAUGGGGGGAAAAGUGGAGGUUUAGUGUGCUUCUGACUCAGCUUUCAAAUGAAGCUUGAAAUUUGAAGUUUGAAAGUUUCAAAUAAAGUUUGAAAGUUUUCCCUAGGUGUCCUGAUCGGCUCUUCAGUCUCAGCUUCCAGUAAACUGGGGAAGAAAAU